RNAcentral lists this ribosomal RNA (372 nucleotides) under uncultured bacterium. Its description in RNAcentral is "bacterial SSU rRNA". It matches the Rfam family "Bacterial small subunit ribosomal RNA", at positions 29 to 430 of the family's 1533-position model. The record is from RNAcentral.
AACGAACGCUGGCGGCAGGCCUAACACAUGCAAGUCGAACGCCCCGCAAGGGGAGUGGCAGACGGGUGAGUAACACGUGGGAACGUACCCUUCGGUUCGGGAUAACUCAGGGAAACUUGAGCUAAUACCGGAUACGUCCGAGAGGAGAAAGAUUUAUCGCCGAGGGAUCGGCCCGCGUCUGAUUAGCUUGUUGGUGAGGUAACGGCUCACCAAGGCGACGAUCAGUAGCUGGUCUGAGAGGAUGAUCAGCCACAUUGGGACUGAGACACGGCCCAAACUCCUACGGGAGGCAGCAGUGGGGAAUAUUGGACAAUGGGCGCAAGCCUGAUCCAGCCAUGCCGCGUGAGUGAUGAAGGCCCUAGGGUUGUAAAG